GCUACAGGCUUAACACAUGCAAGUCGAGGGGCAGCAUGAGAUUAGCUGCUAAUCUGAUGGCGACCGGCGCACGGGUGCGUAACACGUAUCCAAUCUACCCAUGGCUCGGGGAUAGCCUUUCGAAAGAAAGAUUAAUACCCGAUGGUCUGCGAUUGAGACAUCUCGAUUGCAGUAAAGACUUGUCGGCGAUGGAUGGGGAUGCGUCCGAUUAGCUAGUUGGCGGGGUAACGGCCCACCAAGGCGACGAUCGGUAGGGGUUCUGAGAGGAAGGUCCCCCCACACUGGAACUGAGACACGGUCCAGACUCCUACGGGAGGCAGCAGUGAGGAAUAUUGGUCAAUGGGCGAUGGCCUGAACCAGCCAAGUAGCGUGAGGGACGACGGCCCUACGGGUUGUAAACCUCUUUUGUAUGGGAAUAAAGUGAGGCACGUGUGCCUUUUUGUAUGUACCUUACGAAUAAGCAUCGGCUAAUUCCGUGCCAGCCGCCGC
Molecule: ribosomal RNA, 489 nt
Filed under: uncultured bacterium
Lineage: Bacteria
Description: bacterial SSU rRNA
Rfam family: Bacterial small subunit ribosomal RNA
Source: RNAcentral